GCGGAUAUGGCGGAAUUGGCAGACGCGUUAGUUUUAGGCACUAGUGAAGAAAUUCGUGGGGGUUCAAGUCCCUCUAUCCGUA
Molecule: transfer RNA, 82 nt
Filed under: Chloropicon laureae
Lineage: Eukaryota; Viridiplantae; Chlorophyta; Chloropicophyceae; Chloropicales; Chloropicaceae
Description: tRNA-Leu
Rfam family: tRNA
About the family: Transfer RNA (tRNA) molecules are approximately 80 nucleotides in length. Their secondary structure includes four short double-helical elements and three loops (D, anti-codon, and T loops).
Source: RNAcentral